GCUGGGCUGGCUCAGUCCGUAGAGCAUGUGACUGUUGAUCUCAGGGUCAUGGGUUCGAGCCCUACGUUGGGCA
RNAcentral lists this transfer RNA (73 nucleotides) under Ailuropoda melanoleuca (giant panda). It matches the Rfam family "tRNA". From Rfam's summary of the family: Transfer RNA (tRNA) molecules are approximately 80 nucleotides in length. Their secondary structure includes four short double-helical elements and three loops (D, anti-codon, and T loops). Further hydrogen bonds mediate the characteristic L-shaped molecular structure. tRNAs have two regions of fundamental functional importance: the anti-codon, which is responsible for specific mRNA codon recognition, and the 3' end, to which the tRNAs corresponding amino acid is attached (by aminoacyl-tRNA synthetases). tRNAs cope with the degeneracy of the genetic code in two manners: having more than one tRNA (with a specific anti-codon) for a particular amino acid; and 'wobble' base-pairing, i.e. permitting non-standard base-pairing at the 3rd anti-codon position. Lineage: Eukaryota; Metazoa; Chordata; Mammalia; Carnivora; Ursidae. The record is from Rfam by way of RNAcentral.